RNAcentral lists this long non-coding RNA (564 nucleotides) under Equus caballus (horse). Its description in RNAcentral is "lncRNA (ENSECAG00000052037.1)". The record is from RNAcentral. Lineage: Eukaryota; Metazoa; Chordata; Mammalia; Perissodactyla; Equidae.
UAAAAUUGAUAUGUCGAAACCUAAUCCCCAAUGUGACGGUACUUGGAGGUGGGGCCUCUGGGAAGUGAUUAGGUUAUGAGGGUGCAACCCUCAGGAAUGGGAUUAGUGCCCUUAUCAAAGAGGGUCCAGAGAGAUCCCUUCCCUCUUCUGCCAUGUGAGGACACCAAGAGAAGAUGGCCAUCUGUGAACCAAUGCAGGCCCUCACCAGACUCUAAAUCUGCCAGUGACUUCUUCUUGGACUUCCAGCCUCCAGAAGUAAUGUGGACUAGUUAUCAAUCUGCCACAGCAGGAAGAUGGCCAGUGAUAUAAACUGUGUCUGAGUGAGAACUCCCCUGAUCCACAGGGCUGUCGGGAGCUUUAAUUGAAUCCAUUUAUUAGCCUCUCUUGUCAUCACACACUCCUGAAGACUGUGGACAAGAACGGGGGAACAGAGAGCAAACAAUGGAGCAGAAUGUGGCGCCCGACUAAGCUGUUUACAACUCGAAAAAGCCUAUAAAAGGACAAAGCUGUGCUUCUUCUGAAACUUUGUCUAGGGGUCAGGAAAGGGGCAUAUGUCCCACAGGA